Schizosaccharomyces pombe (fission yeast) is the source of this 470-nucleotide non-coding RNA. Lineage: Eukaryota; Fungi; Ascomycota; Schizosaccharomycetes; Schizosaccharomycetales; Schizosaccharomycetaceae. The record is from the annotation of a GenBank genome assembly.
UUUCUUAAUACGGCUGUUUCUUUGAAAUUUGCUCAAGUUAUCGCGAUGCUUCUUCGAAGCCAUAUGUGAUGAAUAGGCGCCUUCUGAAUAAAACUUUUUAUUACAUACUUCACAGUUUUGAUAAAAUUCUGCUUUUUUCUGGACUUCCUCGUUCUGCUUUUGAAUGGACAAAAUCUUUCCAGCAAACACCUCAGCACUCAACGGCGGCAAGCUAGCAACCUUUCUCUUCAGAUUAUAAUGAUGCCAGUCAGACUUCCAAUGUAUUUUCUGUGAUUCUGCAUUAUUGAAAGCCACAGUACAAGUCGUGCAAGCAAAAGAAGUCGACAUUUCGGUAUUCUGUCAAGUAAUUCAAUUCUUAGCCAGUACACUUUUUUAUCGAAAAAAAAAUUGAUAUUGAAGCCGAGUCUUUCCUCAAAUAUAUUCUUUGACUCAAACUAACUUAAUGAGAUGAAGUCAACCCUUUUUUACAA